Megalops cyprinoides (Indo-Pacific tarpon) is the source of this 499-nucleotide long non-coding RNA. RefSeq lists it as uncharacterized. The transcript has 4 exons. The record is from RefSeq and is a predicted model, not a curated record. NCBI's taxonomy places the organism in Eukaryota, Metazoa, Chordata, Actinopteri, Elopiformes, Megalopidae.
UAAACAUUGUUGAAAGUUGGAAAGAGUCCAUUUCAGGGGCCGAGUUACACUUUAGUUCAGCUGUCCGUGUGCCUCAAAGACGCACGUAUCGCAUCGGAUCUUCACGCAAAAUUUUAAGCAUUUUAAGCGCAUCUAAAUGAUAGAAUUUGGGAAUAAAUACUCCGCAUACUGAACCGGAACUUGACCAGUUUGAGUGGGUAUAUUGGGUGUCGCCUGUUUUGGUAGUGCAUAUAGGCUGCUUUGAGUUUAUCGAAUUCUCUGCUGUUUCUGGUUUUAAAGACACAUUAGUCAGGGAGUAUGGAUCUGUCAUUGGUGUUAGCACUCUGCUCCUGUGUGGCCCCUGCGUUGGGGUCAGCUUUUGGCAGGGAAAUGCCAGCAUCCAGUAUUAAUGACAUGAAAGGUAAUUUUCAUCCAGGUCAUUUUCCUUUUUAAGUUUGACAUUCACUUGAUAUUUUUUUUAUACUGUGACACACCAACCAAUGUAAUUACCUGGAAAUUC